This is a long non-coding RNA of Hemicordylus capensis (graceful crag lizard), 1147 nucleotides long. RefSeq lists it as uncharacterized. The record is from RefSeq and is a predicted model, not a curated record. The transcript is spliced from 2 exons. NCBI's taxonomy places the organism in Eukaryota, Metazoa, Chordata, Lepidosauria, Squamata, Cordylidae.
AAAAGGCAAAGAUAUAUAGUCACAACGAUGUUCUCAAAUUCUUGGUGUCCAAUGUAUUCUGCUUUGAACUCCUCAUUUUAUAGAUGUGUUGUCUGUUUCUGAAUCUGAAAGCAAACAGGGAGCUUAAGUAUACUGAAAGCACAAUGACUUAACUAGUUUUUAUAUUAUCCAAGGGAACUUUCCUAUUAUGUCCACACAUCCCCAAUAUAAUCCAGGCUGAAAUUCUAAGUGCACUAAUUAGGGAUUAAGUUCUUCUCAACACUGUUGGAUUUCUGAGUAAGCACACAUAGGAUCCAGUUUGCAAGAGCUUCCUCCAAUAUCACUUAGGAUUGAAACGUGCUGUUGGAGAGAGCUUAAGGCUACGUCCUUACUCAGGAAAACCUCAUUUUAAUUUUCAACCCAGAGUAGUUGAGGCCCUGGUAUAGCAGAAAGCCUCCCCUUUUGGCACAGCAGGGAUGCAAACGGGAGAAAAUGCACAUUUUGCAUCCAUCAUAUAUUCUUCCAGGUAUGUGGAUACUGGUGCAUCUUGCCAGUCAAUGGGAGAAGAUUAGAGGGAGAACUUUGUCUCUUUGGUCUGCUCCUGGGCUAUACAUUCUUGACUUGCCAACUUGGCCUCCCACCCACAUCCCCUUUUCCCUCUUGUUUUUAUUUAAGUCUGCAACCUGCCUAUCAGGCUUCCUUGCUAUAGACAUUGUUAGCUACUAGUUAAUGGGAUUAGGAAUGCAUUGCACCUAGUCCCAGACUGGCACAGAGGUGCCAUGGUUUCUGCCUUCCUCACAACAGCAGCUUCUUAUACAUUCCACUUUCAGUGUUGUGUGCUUAACCUUUGCCAUAACAUAGGUUUUUGGUUUCUGGUGAUCAGGCAUUGGGCAGGAUCAGAAGCGUGCAGGAUCAAUUCCAUGUAUAAUUUCAUCAUCUGUGGGGCUGCUCUAAUGGAGGCUACGGGACUACUGGACCAACCUUCACCAGCUGAGUGGUCAGCCAUGCCCCUGGAAAGCUAACAGGAACUCCAGCUUCUUUCCUCCCUGUUGAGAUGCUUCCAGCUGCAGACUCAUAUUCUUUACAACUUGGAGAUAUGCAAUUCAUAUUAUGAACUUGAGGUAUUAUUUUAUACCAACCAUGAAAAGAAAAGAAAAAGCCAAAAUGA